GGCUUCGUGGCCCAAUGGCAAGGCGUCUGACUACGACGGUUCAAGAACACAACUUGGAUUCCAAAUUUGCAAUCAGGAGAUUCUGGGUUCGAUCCCCAGCGAAGUCA
This is a transfer RNA of Microdochium bolleyi, 107 nucleotides long. It matches the Rfam family "tRNA". Rfam says of the family: Transfer RNA (tRNA) molecules are approximately 80 nucleotides in length. The record is from Rfam. NCBI's taxonomy places the organism in Eukaryota, Fungi, Ascomycota, Sordariomycetes, Xylariales, Microdochiaceae.